Molecule: long non-coding RNA, 1078 nt
Organism: Coffea arabica (coffee)
Lineage: Eukaryota; Viridiplantae; Streptophyta; Magnoliopsida; Gentianales; Rubiaceae
Source: RefSeq, a predicted model, not a curated record
UCAUAUCACAAAACCACGAUACCAUUUGCUCUAUUUCACAGCCACAAGACACAAUACCAAUUUCCUUCUCUGCACAAACCACAAACCGCAACUUCCUUUCUUCUCUGUACAAGCAAACCGCUUCCUUUCUAAAUACCGAGACACCACCUUCAUCAAAUUCCAUUUCUUUUCUGCACAACUCCACCGAAACCACUGCACUCCAUCUUCAUCGUGAAAAGGUAGCAUCCGAGAGCAAGAGAGGGAGAGCUGCUCCUCGUGAGUAUCGACUGAAGAAAAGCCGCGAGCUGCAUUUUCCUUUUGUCUCUACUCUGUCCGUAGGCUGAGGGAAGAGACCAGGGAAGUCAACCUCAGACCAACAUCCACCAGCUGCAACCACCUACAUCACAACACCAUUUCCAGCUGCAAAUUGAACGCAGGACCAAACAGGGUGCGUGAGAGCCGAGAGGAAGGAAGAAAAUUCCAGAUUUCUGUGCGUAAGUUUAGAGUGUAUCUAAGGAUUUUGCGAGGACGCGGAAUUCGAUUCUCAACUUGAUAUCUGAACUCCACUCUUGGUUCUGGAAACUGAAAGCCUUGAACUUACUUAUGUUUCUUUUCUUUUGGAUGUAAUGGAUAUUAUGGCUAUUGUGUGGGUUGUAUUAUGCUUCAACAUGAAUUAUGUACUUUUGUUUUAGAUUGCCACUUGAUGCUGGAAAAGUGUAAAACCUAAUUUCGAUAUCUGGUUCGUAUGAAUUUUAUUUGUAUACCCGAUUUGUACAACCCUAUUCCCUGGUUGUAGCGCCUGGGAUGUUUAGGGGCCGUUGACUGGCCGUUUUAAAUUACUGCUACCUCUGAAGUUAAUGUGGUUUAGUGAUUGACUUUUUUGAGGGAAGCGAUAUUGUAAUAGUUUAGGUUAUUCUUCGGAAGGAUUCGGGUUAGUGUGCGUGCGUGAGUCCUGGCGAGAGUUGGGCAGACGGCCCGCCAACCCUCUGGUUCGCCUUAGGGGAAAGUGGGGUCGUCACAUUCUCUAAGAGAUGUAAAGACUGCGUUAUGCUUCAAAAGAUUUAAUGGCAGCGUCAGAAGACAGUAGUGCUUUUGUUCA